This is an RNA transcript of Pogoniulus pusillus (Red-fronted tinkerbird), 2419 nucleotides long. RefSeq lists it as uncharacterized. The transcript has 17 exons. The record is from RefSeq and is a predicted model, not a curated record. Lineage: Eukaryota; Metazoa; Chordata; Aves; Piciformes; Lybiidae.
CUGGGGGCGGGAGUGAGAGCCAAUGGCCAGGAAGGAGCCGCUGCUGAUCGCCCUCAAAGGUGGGGUGCUGCGGCUGCGGGAGGUCGGGGGACCCUGCACGGACACCUCGCCUCACCUCGCCUCGCUUUGCCAGCUGUUGGAGAACAUCCUGCGCAAGGGACUCCAGCAGCCAGCCUGGGGCUUCAGGAGACGGGAUUACUGGCACUGGCUGGAGCAGCUUCCCACGGCGGGCACUGGCAGGCUAAGCCCCCUCUCCACCAGCAUCCAAAAAGCAGGUGGCUGUGAGAAGGUGCAGACAGCACAGGGCCAUGGGCGGUACUUCCUGCGCUUGGCCCUGCAGGAGAAGGUGCUGGCAGCGGCUGUGAGGGAGCUGGCACAGACUCCCAGGCUCCUGGAGUUUUACGAUCCAGUGAGCUCCAUCCUCGGCAAUGAAGAACUGCUGGAGCCUUUCCUCUCGCUGCUGCUGGUGGUGACAGAGAUGGAUUUCUCCCUGGACCUGCAGAAUUGCAGCUUCUUGGACGAGAGCUGGCUGCUGCCGGUGUGCAUCACUUAUGAGAUGGUCCCGUGCCACACACUGGGGAUGGUGCUCAGGUAUGUGGAUGGCCGAGUCUUUGUCACCGAGGUGCUCCCUGAGAGCCAGGCAGAGGUGGAUGAGGUGGUGCUGGCUGGUGACAUCCUUGAUGAGAUCAAUGGCUGCUCACUGAGAAAUGCCUACAGUGGGCAGGCUGGGGCCUUGCUGCAGAAGCUGAAGGGACAACCACUCAGCUUCCGCCUGCUGCGGUGGCGGUGGCACGAUGGGGAGGUCUAUGAGCCACUGCUGCCCUACCUGAAGGUCCUGAAGGAGAAGGAGCCCAAGUUCCAGCUCCAGCACAGCCCCCGGCGCAGAGGCAAGGAGGAGCCACGGCGGCUGCAGGGGGGCAGGCUGCUCUACAAGCUGCGGUACCUCGGCCAGACCAGCGUUGGGAAGUAUGGUGGCAAAGAGGUGCUGGCCCAUGCCAUCCCCGCCGUGCUGGAGAGACGCUCACCAGUGCGGGAGGUUUUGUUUGACGUGAAAGAAACAGAAGUCCUUGUGCAGGAGAGGAAUUCUUCCAAGCUCCUGUGCCGCUACCCUUACCCCACCAUCUCCUGCGUGGGACGCUGCACGGACAGCAGCCAUUUAUUUGGCUUCUGCGUGGCCACUUCCCCAGAGAGCCCUGAUGGGAGCACAUUCGACUGCCUGGUGUUUGCAUCCAGUUCUGAGCAGGAAUGUGAGGAAAUCAUCAGGAGAAUCGCUGCAGGGUUUAAGCACACGGAGUGGUUCGUGUGAUAAAGGAGCCUUGGCUGCAGCCCUGAGGUUGCCCAGCAGCACACCAACUGGCACAGACCCUGAUACACGGGGAGCAGGAGCCCAGAUGGAGUCUGAACAGCUCUGCUCCACCACAACCCAACCAGGUAGGGCUGCUGAGGAAACCAGCACACUCUCAGGCCCCAGAGCUGCUCCCAAGUGAAGGUCCAAGUGUAAUCCUGCCUCAUCAAAAAAGGCUUAGAUGGGAAAUGAGUCUUACCCCACGCCCAUCCAGCUGCUCAGCAGCCCAUAUGCUCUCAGGCUGUAUAAUGAGCUUCACCACAGCACUGGCUGCUGUUAUUAACUGGGACUUAGUCAUGUGGACAGGCCCCACAAACUCCCCCACACUACAGCAGGCACCACUCUGGUUUUGCUUCAAGCAGGACCCAUCAGUCACACCACCGAACUCACCCCUGCAUCUACUGGAAAGGAGGAAAGGCUAGAGCUGUGCCUGAAAGCUUAAGUCAUAAAGCUAACACUUCACACAAAAAAAGAUCUACCACGAGGCUGGUACCUAGGUUCCUUCUCUGCUCCAUGCCCCAGGGCCUCAGCUCUUCCUGGCUAAGAGCAGUGACUCAACUACAGAAGCCUCCAAAGAGGGCCAGGGCAAGUUCUCCAUGCUGUUGGCAUACAAGGUUAAGUUGCCAGAGCAGCACUGCAGGACUAGAGAGCACCUAACCAGAGCCAGGAGGAAAAAGCAGCUUCAAGCCCAUACAAACCAAAUGACAAAGAGUCCUCACAUGUGAAUGUAAAACAUUUAAUUUAAAAAUGUUGACACUACAAUAUAUAAAAUAGCUAUUAUAAAUGCACAUAGUGUAUUCUAUAGCUGCCAGGUUUACUUUUUUUUUUCUUUUAGGAAACUGUAAGUUACACUGUGGUUAAGACUUGUAGCUUCACCCUCCGAAAAGUCCACAUUUGAUCACAGUGAUGUAUGGUCAGACUAACAGCCCCAAUUGUUAAACACUUGGAUCAAGUCAUAACCAGUUUUAUUGCAAAAGGACCCUGUACACAUUUAUAUCAAUUCUAGUACCUUACAAGUUUAGCUACCCAACAAGUCAUUAACAUACAGAAACAUGCAUGAGAAGCAAGAAAGAU